Molecule: ribosomal RNA, 447 nt
Filed under: uncultured bacterium
Lineage: Bacteria
Description: bacterial SSU rRNA
Rfam family: Bacterial small subunit ribosomal RNA
Source: RNAcentral
UUCCAGACUCCUACGGGAGGCAGCAGUGGGGAAUAUUGGGCAAUGGGCGCAAGCCUGACCCAGCAACGCCGCGUGAAGGAAGAAGGCUUUCGGGUUGUAAACUUCUUUUCUCAGGGACGAAUAGAUGACGGUACCUGAGGAAUAAGCCACGGCUAACUACGUGCCAGCAGCCGCGGUAAUACGGAGGAUGCGAGCGUUAUCCGGAUUUAUUGGGUUUAAAGGGUGCGUAGGCGGGCUGUUAAGUCAGCGGUAAACGCCCGGGCCCCACCCCGGGCGAGCCGUUGAAACUGGCUGUCUUGAGAUGUCGAGAGGUAUGCGGAAUGCGCAGUGUAGCGGUGAAAUGCUUAGAUAUUGCGCAGAACUCCGAUUGCGAAGGCAGCAUACCGGCGGCGAUCUGACGCUGAGGCACGAAAGCGUGGGUAUCGAACAGGAUUAGAUACCCCCGUA